Molecule: long non-coding RNA, 229 nt
Filed under: Homo sapiens (human)
Lineage: Eukaryota; Metazoa; Chordata; Mammalia; Primates; Hominidae
Description: HSALNT0020276
Source: RNAcentral
GGACCACCUCCUCCAGAAGACUUUCCAGAAAUUGCCUACUGUGUCUCCUCUCUGAGCUUCCCACGGCUCUCAGACAUCCACACACAGCAGGCUUUCCCUUCCAGCUUCCUUCUCUCUUCCUGGUCUGUGAGUCCCAGCUUCCCCAGGGAGCUGUGAGCCUCAUCUAUCCCAGACUCCCCGCAGGAGCAGGCACCCCACUGGGCUCAAGAGAUUUAGGACAUCGUGACUG